This 497-nucleotide ribosomal RNA is filed under the name uncultured bacterium. RNAcentral's name for it is "partial 16S ribosomal RNA". It matches the Rfam family "Bacterial small subunit ribosomal RNA", at positions 28 to 507 of the family's 1533-position model. The record is from RNAcentral.
GAUGAACGCUGGCGGCGUGCCUAAUACAUGCAAGUCGAGCGAACGGACGAGGAGCUUGCUUUUCUGAUGUUAGCGGCGGACGGGUGAGUAACACGUGGAUAACCUACCUAUAAGACUGGGAUAACUUCGGGAAACCGGAGCUAAUACCGGAUAAUAUUUUGAACCGCAUGGUUCAAAAGUGAAAGACGGUCUUGCUGUCACUUAUAGAUGGAUCCGCGCUGCAUUAGCUAGUUGGUAAGGUAACGGCUUACCAAGGCAACGAUGCAUAGCCGACCUGAGAGGGUGAUCGGCCACACUGGAACUGGAACACGGUCCAGACUCCUAAGGGAGGCAGCAGUAGGGAAUCUUCCGCAAUGGGCGAAAGCCUGACGGAGCAACGCCGCGUGAGUGAUGAAGGUCUUCGGAUCGUAAAACUCUGUUAUUAGGGAAGAACAUAUGUGUAAGUAACUGUGCACAUCUUGACGGUACCUAAUCAGAAAGCCACGGCUAACUACGUG